GAUGAACGCUGGCGGCGUGCCUAAUACAUGCAAGUCGAGCGAACAGACGAGGAGCUUGCUCCUCUGACGUUAGCGGCGGACGGGUGAGUAACACGUGGAUAACCUACCUAUAAGACUGGGAUAACUUCGGGAAACCGGAGCUAAUACCGGAUAAUAUAUUGAACCGCAUGGUUCAAUAGUGAAAGACGGUUUUGCUGUCACUUAUAGAUGGAUCCGCGCCGCAUUAGCUAGUUGGUAAGGUAACGGCUUACCAAGGCAACGAUGCGUAGCCGACCUGAGAGCGGGAUCGGCCACACCGAAGCUGAGACACGGUCCAGACUCCUACGGGAGGCAGCAGUAGGGAAGCUUCCGCAAUGGGCGAAAGCAUGACGGAGCAACGCCGCGUGAGUGAUGAAGGUCUUCGGAUCGUAAAACUCUGUUAUUAGGGAAGAACAAAUGUGUAAGUAACUAUGCACGUCUUGACGGUACCUACUCAGAAAGCCACGGCUAACUACGU
This 496-nucleotide ribosomal RNA is filed under the name uncultured bacterium. Its description in RNAcentral is "partial 16S ribosomal RNA". It matches the Rfam family "Bacterial small subunit ribosomal RNA", at positions 28 to 506 of the family's 1533-position model. The record is from RNAcentral.